Tupaia belangeri chinensis (Chinese tree shrew) is the source of this 443-nucleotide long non-coding RNA. RefSeq lists it as uncharacterized. NCBI's taxonomy places the organism in Eukaryota, Metazoa, Chordata, Mammalia, Scandentia, Tupaiidae. The transcript has 3 exons. The record is from RefSeq and is a predicted model, not a curated record.
GCGGCCGCACCGGGCCCAGCCCUCGGUGCAGCGACCUGGGAGCCUACCCCGCUGUCCUGCAGCCCCGCUGUCCUGCAGCCCCUCUGUCCCGCAGCCGUGCGGAUGUGGUUUCUCCCAUUCCUGGCCCUGCCCUGUAGCUGUGCGCCCUGUCCCCAGGCCCCAGGCCCUGGUGUCCCUCUCUGAGACUGGGUGACCAGGAAGCAGGUGAACUUGGCCAGGCUGCAGGCCGGAUUCCCAGGCAUCCUGCGGCUGAUUAAUCCAAUCUCCCUAAGGUGGGACAAGGGGAGUGUGGACGUGGCUGGAAUCCCGCAUGUGUCCUGGGGGAGACCGCCUGAGUUUCUUCAUGAGCGAGAGACGCAGACGGAGAGGCAGAGGCAGCGCCCGACCAGGCCCUGGGCCACGACCACCCCAGCCCUGGCUCACCCUGUAUCAGCACAACGCUC